This is a non-coding RNA of Otolemur garnettii (small-eared galago), 104 nucleotides long. The record is from Rfam. Lineage: Eukaryota; Metazoa; Chordata; Mammalia; Primates; Galagidae.
ACGUGAUUCACCAGCUUACGUACUAAAAUUGGAAAGAUGUGGAGAAGAUUAUCAUGGUCUCUGAAAAGAAUGACAAGCAAAUUCAUGCAGCAUCCAAUAUUUUU